RNAcentral lists this ribosomal RNA (301 nucleotides) under uncultured bacterium. RNAcentral's name for it is "partial 16S ribosomal RNA". It matches the Rfam family "Bacterial small subunit ribosomal RNA", at positions 509 to 809 of the family's 1533-position model. The record is from RNAcentral.
CAGUCGCCGCGGGAACACGUAGGGUGCAAGCGUUAAUCGGAAUUACUGGGCGUAAAGCGUGCGCAGGCGGUUAUAUAAGACAGAUGUGAAAUCCCCGGGCUCAACCUGGGAACUGCAUUUGUGACUGUAUAGCUAGAGUACGGCAGAGGGGGAUGGAAUUCCGCGUGUAGCAGUGAAAUGCGUAGAUAUGCGGAGGAACACCGAUGGCGAAGGCAAUCCCCUGGGCCUGUACUGACGCUCAUGCACGAAAGCGUGGGGAGCAAACAGGAUUAGAUACCCCAGUAGUCCCUGUCUCUUAUCC